Long non-coding RNA from Stegodyphus dumicola, 577 nucleotides. Lineage: Eukaryota; Metazoa; Arthropoda; Arachnida; Araneae; Eresidae. The record is from RefSeq and is a predicted model, not a curated record.
AACUUCUCAAUUAUAACUCUUUUUUCAUUUGUAAAUACACAUCACUGUAUCUCCAUCAAUAACUAAAUAAAUACUUAGUCACCUAAAUGUGUGUCGUCAGCGUCCCUAGACGCCGAGUUUACAUGGGAGCUUCGACCGGUUCUUCUUCAGUCAAGGUGUCCCAGAUUUGCUCUUAAGACGCUUGAGCAUUCAAGAUGGUCUGGAGAAAUAACACUUCUUCUUCCAUCAAGACGUUCCAGGAUGAUCUAUUGACACUCCAAAUUUUGUUGUAACUCCAUCAUCGCCAGGAAGCCCUGUCGUGUCAGGAUACCCGAGUGUGAGUAGCAGGAGUUCAACAACUCAACACAACUAACGGCAUUGCAGUGAGACGAAGGGUGGAUGAUGGAAGCGAAAGAGAGCAGUCAUGUUUACGACUAAGACGUAUUAAUAGAUGGCGAAGCUGUUAACUUCUCAAUUAUAACUCUUUUUUCAUUUGUAAAUACACAUCACUGUAUCUCCAUCAAUAACUAAAUACUUAGUCACCUAAAUGUGUGUCGUCAGCGUAGAAAUUCCCUAGACGCCGAGUUUACAUAUAUAU